Molecule: ribosomal RNA, 520 nt
Filed under: uncultured Glomus
Lineage: Eukaryota; Fungi; Glomeromycota; Glomeromycetes; Glomerales; Glomeraceae
Description: SSU rRNA
Rfam family: Eukaryotic small subunit ribosomal RNA
Source: RNAcentral
AGCAGCCGCGGUAAUUCCAGCUCCAAUAGCGUAUAUUAAAGUUGUUGCAGUUAAAAAGCUCGUAGUUGAAUUUCGGGGUUAGUAGGUUGGUCAUGCCUCUGGUAUGUACUGGUCUCACUGAUUCCUCCUUCCUGAUGAGCCGUAAUGCCAUUAAUUUGGUGUUGCGGGGAAUUUGGACUGUUACUUUGAAAAAAUUAGAGUGUUUAAAGCAAGCUAACGCUUGAAUACAUUAGCAUGGAAUAAUGAAAUAGGACGUUCGAUCCUAUUUUGUUGGUUUCUAGGAUUGACGUAAUGAUUAAUAGGGAUAGUUGGGGGCAUUAGUAUUCAAUUGUCAGAGGUGAAAUUCUUGGAUUUAUUGAAGACUAACUACUGCGGAAGCAUUUGCCAAGGAUGUUUUCAUUAAUCAAGAACGAAAGUUAGGGGAUCGAAGACGAUCAGAUACCGUCGUAGUCUUAACCAUAAACUAUGCCGACUAGGGAUCGGACGGUGUUAGUAUUUUGACCCGUUCGGCACCUUACGG